RNAcentral lists this ribosomal RNA (1016 nucleotides) under Lactiplantibacillus plantarum. Its description in RNAcentral is "bacterial SSU rRNA". It matches the Rfam family "Bacterial small subunit ribosomal RNA", at positions 52 to 1034 of the family's 1533-position model. Lineage: Bacteria; Bacillati; Bacillota; Bacilli; Lactobacillales; Lactobacillaceae. The record is from RNAcentral.
UAAUGCAGUCGAACGAACUCUGGUAUUGAUUGGUGCUUGCAUCAUGAUUUACAUUUGAGUGAGUGGCGAACUGGUGAGUAACACGUGGGAAACCUGCCCAGAAGCGGGGGAUAACACCUGGAAACAGAUGCUAAUACCGCAUAACAACUUGGACCGCAUGGUCCGAGCUUGAAAGAUGGCUUCGGCUAUCACUUUUGGAUGGUCCCGCGGCGUAUUAGCUAGAUGGUGGGGUAACGGCUCACCAUGGCAAUGAUACGUAGCCGACCUGAGAGGGUAAUCGGCCACAUUGGGACUGAGACACGGCCCAAACUCCUACGGGAGGCAGCAGUAGGGAAUCUUCCACAAUGGACGAAAGUCUGAUGGAGCAACGCCGCGUGAGUGAAGAAGGGUUUCGGCUCGUAAAACUCUGUUGUUAAAGAAGAACAUAUCUGAGAGUAACUGUUCAGGUAUUGACGGUAUUUAACCAGAAAGCCACGGCUAACUACGUGCCAGCAGCCGCGGUAAUACGUAGGUGGCAAGCGUUGUCCGGAUUUAUUGGGCGUAAAGCGAGCGCAGGCGGUUUUUUAAGUCUGAUGUGAAAGCCUUCGGCUCAACCGAAGAAGUGCAUCGGAAACUGGGAAACUUGAGUGCAGAAGAGGACAGUGGAACUCCAUGUGUAGCGGUGAAAUGCGUAGAUAUAUGGAAGAACACCAGUGGCGAAGGCGGCUGUCUGGUCUGUAACUGACGCUGAGGCUCGAAAGUAUGGGUAGCAAACAGGAUUAGAUACCCUGGUAGUCCAUACCGUAAACGAUGAAUGCUAAGUGUUGGAGGGUUUCCGCCCUUCAGUGCUGCAGCUAACGCAUUAAGCAUUCCGCCUGGGGAGUACGGCCGCAAGGCUGAAACUCAAAGGAAUUGACGGGGGCCCGCACAAGCGGUGGAGCAUGUGGUUUAAUUCGAAGCUACGCGAAGAACCUUACCAGGUCUUGACAUACUAUGCAAAUCUAAGAGAUUAGACGUUCCCUUCGGGGACAUGGAUA